RNAcentral lists this ribosomal RNA (433 nucleotides) under uncultured bacterium. RNAcentral's name for it is "partial 16S ribosomal RNA". It matches the Rfam family "Bacterial small subunit ribosomal RNA", at positions 29 to 507 of the family's 1533-position model. The record is from RNAcentral.
AACGAACGCUGGCGGCAUGCCUAACACAUGCAAGUCGAACGAGACCUUCGGGUCUAGUGGCGCACGGGUGCGUAACGCGUGGGAACCUGCCCUUAGGUUCGGAAUAACUCCCCGAAAGGGGUGCUAAUACCGGAUAAUGUCUUCGGACCAAAGAUUUAUCGCCUUUGGAUGGGCCCGCGUUGGAUUAGCUAGUUGGUAGGGUAAAAGCCUACCAAGGCGACGAUCCAUAGCUGGUCUGAGAGGAUGAUCAGCCACACUGGGACUGAGACACGGCCCAGACUCCUACGGGAGGCAGCAGUGGGGAAUAUUGGACCAUGGGCGAAAGCCUGAUCCAGCAAUGCCGCGUGAGUGAUGAAGGCCUUAGGGUUGUAAAGCUCUUUUAACCGGGAUGAUAAUGACAGUACCGGGAGAAUAAGCCCCGGCUAACUCCGUG